UACGGGGGGUGCAAGCGUUGUUCGGAAUCAUUGGGCGUAAAGAGCGUGUAGGCGGCUUGAUAAGUCAGAUGUGAAAGCCCUGGGCUUAACCCAGGAAGUGCAUUUGAUACUGUCUGGCUAGAGUAAGGGAGAGGAAAGCGGAAUUCCUGGUGUAGAGGUGAAAUUCGUAGAUAUCAGGAGGAACACCGGUGGCGAAGGCGGCUUUCUGGCCCUAUACUGACGCUGAGACGCGAGAGCGUGGGUAGCAAACAGGAUUAGAUACCCUGGUAGUCCACGCCGUAAACGAUGUUCACUAGGUGUUGGGGGUAUUGACCCCCUCAGUGCCGCAGCUAACGCAUUAAGUGAACCGCCUGGGAAGUACGGUCGCAAGACUAAA
RNAcentral lists this ribosomal RNA (376 nucleotides) under uncultured bacterium. RNAcentral's name for it is "bacterial SSU rRNA". It matches the Rfam family "Bacterial small subunit ribosomal RNA", at positions 524 to 898 of the family's 1533-position model. The record is from RNAcentral.